Molecule: ribosomal RNA, 1005 nt
Filed under: uncultured bacterium
Lineage: Bacteria
Description: bacterial SSU rRNA
Rfam family: Bacterial small subunit ribosomal RNA
Source: RNAcentral
UACUACGUGCCAGCAGCCGCGGUGAUACGUAGGGUGCGAGCGUGUCCGGAUUUAUUGGGCGUAAAGGGCUCGUAGGUGGUUGAUCGCGUCGGAAGUGUAAUCUUGGGGCUUAACCCUGAGCGUGCUUUCGAUACGGGUUGACUUGAGGAAGGUAGGGGAGAAUGGAAUUCCUGGUGGAGCGGUGGAAUGCGCAGAUAUCAGGAGGAACACCAGUGGCGAAGGCGGUUCUCUGGGCCUUUCCUGACGCUGAGGAGCGAAAGCGUGGGGAGCGAACAGGCUUAGAUACCCUGGUAGUCCACGCUGUAAACGGUGGGUACUAGGUGUGGGGUCCAUUCCACGGGUUCCGCGCCGUAGCUAACGCUUUAAGUACCCCGCCUGGGGAGUACGGCCGCAAGGCUAAAACUCAAAGGAAUUGACGGGGCCCCGCACAAGCGGCGGAGCAUGCGGAUUAAUUCGAUGCAACGCGUAGAACCUUACCUGGGUUUGACAUGGAUCGGGAGUGCUCAGAGAUGGGUGUGCCUCUUUUGGGGUCGGUUCACAGGUGGUGCAUGGCUGUCGUCAGCUCGUGUCGUGAGAUGUUGGGUUAAGUCCCGCAACGAGCGCAACCCUUGUUCACUGUUGCCAGCACGUUAUGGUGGGGACUCAGUGGAGACCGCCGGGGUCAACUCGGAGGAAGGUGGGGAUGACGUCAAGUCAUCAUGCCCCUUAUGUCCAGGGCUUCACGCAUGCUACAAUGGCUGGUACAGAGAGUGGCGAGCCUGUGAGGGUGAGCGAAUCUCGGAAAGCCGGUCUCAGUUCGGAUUGGGGUCUGCAACUCGACCUCAUGAAGUCGGAGUCGCUAGUAAUCGCAGAUCAGCAACGCUGCGGUGAAUACGUUCCCGGGGCUUGUACACACCGCCCGUCAAGUCAUGAAAGUUGGUAACACCCGAAGCCGGUGGCCUAACCGUUGUGGGGGAGCCGUCGAAGGUGGGACUGGUGAUUAGGACUAAGUCGUAACAAGGUAAC